GCGGCAGAUCUGAUCGCAGUGGGAGGCACGAGGAGGGCAGUCCUGCUUCUCACUAUCAGCAAAUGUGAGCUGUUCGCUCAUGCAGCAGCUCCUCUGGAUGGCAGGCAAUUCAGUGCUGCUAAAAGAAAACAAAAAGGAUUGCUAGGACCUGAACAUAUUUGCAAAUUGAACUAACCUGAGCUCUCACUACCAAGCUCGUUCCAGUGGGGACUCAGAACAUCAGAGUGGAAGACAGACUACUGUCACACUGCUAGUGAUGUACAGGAACAGCUCACCGCAGGGCUGAGGUGUCAUUGCAUGGGUUCUUUAAUCAACACUGAACCUGCCAGAGACAAUCCAGUUCCAUUCUUUGAGGCAGAGAAAUGGUGGCACCUGUUUUUUUCCAUG
Molecule: long non-coding RNA, 387 nt
Organism: Passer domesticus (house sparrow)
Lineage: Eukaryota; Metazoa; Chordata; Aves; Passeriformes; Passeridae
Exons: 3
Source: RefSeq, a predicted model, not a curated record